CGGGGGGGCAAGCGUUGUUCGGAAUUACUGGGCGUAAAGGGCGCGUAGGCGGCCUGCUAAGUCGGAUGUGAAAUCCCUCGGCUCAACCGAGGAACUGCAUCCGAUACUGGCGGGCUGGAAUCCGGGAGAGGGAUGUGGAAUUCCAGGUGUAGCGGUGAAAUGCGUAGAUAUCUGGAGGAACACCGGUGGCGAAGGCGGCAUCCUGGACCGGUAUUGACGCUGAGGCGCGAAAGCUAGGGGAGCAAACGGGAUUAGAUACCCCGGUAGUCCUAGCCCUAAACGAUGAGUGCUUGGUGUGGCGGGUAUCGAUCCCUGCCGUGCCGAAGCUAACGCAUUAAGCACUCCGCCUGGGGAGUACGGUCGCAAGGCUG
This 371-nucleotide ribosomal RNA is filed under the name uncultured organism. RNAcentral's name for it is "bacterial SSU rRNA". It matches the Rfam family "Bacterial small subunit ribosomal RNA", at positions 527 to 896 of the family's 1533-position model. The record is from RNAcentral.